RNAcentral lists this ribosomal RNA (482 nucleotides) under uncultured bacterium. RNAcentral describes it as "bacterial SSU rRNA". It matches the Rfam family "Bacterial small subunit ribosomal RNA", at positions 28 to 524 of the family's 1533-position model. The record is from RNAcentral.
GACGAACGCUGGCGGCGUGCCUAACACAUGCAAGUCGAACGGAGAUACGAUUUCGGUUGUAUCUUAGUGGCGAACGGGUGAGUAACGCGUGAGCAACCUGACUCUUAGAGGGGGAUAACACCUGGAAACAAGUGCUAAUACCGCAUAAGACCACGACAUGGCAUCAUGACGAGGUCAAAGGAGCAAUCCGCUGAGAGAGGGGCUCGCGUCCCAUUAGAUAGAUGGCGGGGUAACGGCCCACCAUGUCAGCGAUGGGUAGCCGAGCUGAGAGGCUGAUCGGCCACACUGGAACUGAGACACGGUCCAGACUCCUACGGGAGGCAGCAGUGGGGAAUAUUGGGCGAUGGGCGCAAGCCUGACCCAGCAACGCCGCGUGAGGGAAGAAGGCUUUCGGGUUGUAAACCUCUGUCCUUGGUGACGAAAAAAAUGACGGUAGCCAAGGAGGAAGCCCCGGCUAACUACGUGCCAGCAGCCGCGGUAAU